RNAcentral lists this long non-coding RNA (446 nucleotides) under Gossypium barbadense (sea-island cotton). Its description in RNAcentral is "long non-coding RNA (GBAR_LNC011084)". The record is from RNAcentral. Lineage: Eukaryota; Viridiplantae; Streptophyta; Magnoliopsida; Malvales; Malvaceae.
CAAAGAAGGCUAAAACGACGUCAGAUUGGGAUUUGCCUGAUGCUACUCCUGGUAUUGGGCGUUGGGAUGCUACUCCUACGCCAGGGAGAGUUUCUGAUGCCACCCCAUCAGUUGGGAGGAGGAAUAGAUGGGAUGAGACACCAACACCUGGGCGUUUGGCUGAUUCAGAUGCAACCCCAGCAGGUGGAGUUACUCCAGGGGCCACCCCAGCUGGGGUUACAUGGGAUGCUACUCCAAAGGGAUUGGUUACUCCCACGCCGAAACGGCAGAGAUCUAGGUGGGAUGAGACUCCUGCAACCAUGGGAAGUGCGACUCCGAUGGCAGGGGCUACACCAGCGGUUCCUCUUACACCUGGGGUUACUCCUUUUGGUGGUACUGAUUUGCAGACACCAACCCCAAGUAAUCUUCGUGGGCCUAUGACUCCUGAGCAGUAUAAUUUGUUGAGG